This 374-nucleotide ribosomal RNA is filed under the name uncultured organism. Its description in RNAcentral is "partial 16S ribosomal RNA". It matches the Rfam family "Bacterial small subunit ribosomal RNA", at positions 527 to 896 of the family's 1533-position model. The record is from RNAcentral.
GUAGGUGGCAAGCGUUGUCCGGAAUUAUUGGGCGUAAAGCGCGCGCAGGCGGUUCUUUAAGUCUGAUGUGAAAGCCCACGGCUCAACCGUGGAGGGUCAUUGGAAACUGGAGAACUUGAGUACAGAAGAGGAAAGCGGAAUUCCACGUGUAGCGGUGAAAUGCGUAGAGAUGUGGAGGAACACCAGUGGCGAAGGCGGCUUUCUGGUCUGUAACUGACGCUGAGGCGCGAAAGCGUGGGGAGCAAACAGGGAUUAGAUACCCUAGUAGUCCACGCCGUAAACGAUGAGUGCUAAGUGUUAGGGGGGUUUCCGCCCCCUUAGUGCUGCAGCUAACGCAUUAAGCACUCCGCCUGGGGAGUACGGCCGCAAGGCUG